This 449-nucleotide ribosomal RNA is filed under the name uncultured bacterium. RNAcentral describes it as "partial 16S ribosomal RNA". It matches the Rfam family "Bacterial small subunit ribosomal RNA", at positions 28 to 523 of the family's 1533-position model. The record is from RNAcentral.
AGCGAACGCUGGCGGCAGGCUUAACACAUGCAAGUCGAGCGGGCCCUUCGGGGUCAGCGGCGGACGGGUGAGUAACGCGUGGGAACGUGCCCUCUGGUCUGGAAUAACCCUGGGAAACUAGGGCUAAUACCGGAUACGCCCUUUUGGGGAAAGGCUUGCUGCCGGAGGAUCGGCCCGCGUCUGAUUAGCUAGUUGGUGGGGUAACGGCCUACCAAGGCGACGAUCAGUAGCUGGUCUGAGAGGAUGAUCAGCCACACUGGGGCUGAGACACGGCCCAGACUCCUACGGGAGGCAGCAGUGGGGAAUUUUGGACAAUGGGCGCAAGCCUGAUCCAGCCAUGCCGCGUGAGUGAUGAAGGCCUUAGGGUUGUAAAGCUCUUUUAUCCGGGACGAUAAUGACGGUACCGGAGGAAUAAGCCCCGGCUAACUUCGUGCCAGCCGCCGCGGUAA